This is a long non-coding RNA of Zophobas morio, 388 nucleotides long. RefSeq lists it as uncharacterized. The transcript has 3 exons. Lineage: Eukaryota; Metazoa; Arthropoda; Insecta; Coleoptera; Tenebrionidae. The record is from RefSeq and is a predicted model, not a curated record.
CGAGUUAGUUUAAGGGAAGUCAGAAAGUGGGUUAUUUUUCAACAUGUUCCUUUGAAGUUUUUAGCUUUAUAGCUUUUGAAGGACCUUUAGUGGAGCUGGGCUCAUACUAAUAAAUUUCUUAUAAUAACUUUCAUUCUUGGCAUCGUUGACUUUAUUGCCCUUAUUCUCUUGGAGCUCUUUACAAUCAUCCUUUUGAAGGCUUUUUUAUGGACACGCUCGGUGGAGUCGUGGCAUUUCAACCCUCAAGAACACCAAUCAACUGCUCUUUUGUUUGCAUGCUUUUCUACUUUGAAGACACCUUUAAUCGCUGAUGUAAUUUGCUCUUCCCAGUCAAUCCCUUUGCAGUAUUUAAAAAUAAUUCGCUGCAUUUUUGCUUAUAAAUAUUAUA